AUGCAUGUCUAAGUAUAAGCACUGGUACUGUGAAACUGCGAAUGGCUCAUUAAAUCAGUUAUCGUUUAUUUGAUCGUACGUCUUUUUGAAUUACUUGGAUACCCGUAGUAAUUCUAGAGCUAAUACAUGCGAAAAAUCCCGACUGGUCCGGCUCGUCCGGGCGAGGAAGGGACGAGUUUGUUAGAGUAAAAACCAAUCCGGUCUCGCAAGAGCCGGUUUUUGAGGUGAGUCACAGUAAUCGAUCGAAUCGCAUGGCCUUUGCGCCGGCGAUGCAGCAUUCAAAUUUCUGCCCUAUCAGCUGUCGAUGGUAAGGUAGCGGCUUACCAUGGCUACAACGGGUGACGGAGAAUUAGGGUUCGGUUCCGGAGAGGGAGCCUGAGAAACGGCUACCACA
RNAcentral lists this ribosomal RNA (394 nucleotides) under Palythoa caribaeorum. RNAcentral's name for it is "SSU rRNA". It matches the Rfam family "Eukaryotic small subunit ribosomal RNA", at positions 51 to 414 of the family's 1831-position model. Lineage: Eukaryota; Metazoa; Cnidaria; Anthozoa; Zoantharia; Sphenopidae. The record is from RNAcentral.